RNAcentral lists this small RNA (29 nucleotides) under Bombyx mori (domestic silkworm). RNAcentral describes it as "ovarian small RNA-28084". Lineage: Eukaryota; Metazoa; Arthropoda; Insecta; Lepidoptera; Bombycidae. The record is from RNAcentral.
UCCUUGUCACGAUUAGUGGCGGGCGACGC